This is a long non-coding RNA of Chinchilla lanigera (long-tailed chinchilla), 265 nucleotides long. RefSeq lists it as uncharacterized. The transcript is spliced from 3 exons. Lineage: Eukaryota; Metazoa; Chordata; Mammalia; Rodentia; Chinchillidae. The record is from RefSeq and is a predicted model, not a curated record.
GCUGGACAGGGCUUGUCCCUUUGAGAGCUGCUGGAAACCACAGGGUGACUAUUGGAAGAGUGCAAAACAUUGGAAUAUAUAGAGAUCUUAAAGCUUCCUCUGUCUGGACAACUCUGGUUCCUGCUAUUGAUUGGGAUUCUCAGCUGUGGAGAUGAUGCAUUUUGCUGAAAACUGAUUCUAGGCCAGCGUUUCUUUGAUUCUUGUCCCCCAAAGAAUGGCAACAUUAAAUAGUAUUGGUUGAAUUGUUGUAUAAGCUGAAUUUGCA